GUUUGAUCAUGGCUCAGAUUGAACGCUGGCGGCAUGCUUUACACAUGCAAGUCGAACGGUAACAGGUCUUCGGAUGCUGACGAGUGGCGAACGGGUGAGUAAUGUAUCGGAACGUGCCCAGUAGUGGGGGAUAACUACUCGAAAGAGUGGCUAAUACCGCAUGAGAACUGAGGUUGAAAGCGGGGGACCUUCGGGCCUCGCGCUACUGGAGCGGCCGAUAUCAGAUUAGGUAGUUGGUGGGGUAAAGGCCUACCAAGCCGACGAUCUGUAGCUGGUCUGAGAGGACGACCAGCCACACUGGGACUGAGACACGGCCCAGACUCCUACGGGAGGCAGCAGUGGGGAAUUUUGGACAAUGGACGCAAGUCUGAUCCAGCAAUGCCGCGUGCAGGACGAAGGCCUUCGGGUUGUAAACUGCUUUGUACAGAACGAAAGGGCUCUGGUUAAUACCUGGGGCAGAUGACGGUACUGUAAGAAUAAGCACCGGCUAACUACGUG
RNAcentral lists this ribosomal RNA (498 nucleotides) under uncultured bacterium. Its description in RNAcentral is "bacterial SSU rRNA". It matches the Rfam family "Bacterial small subunit ribosomal RNA", at positions 11 to 507 of the family's 1533-position model. The record is from RNAcentral.